Odocoileus virginianus texanus is the source of this 518-nucleotide non-coding RNA. The record is from RefSeq and is a predicted model, not a curated record. NCBI's taxonomy places the organism in Eukaryota, Metazoa, Chordata, Mammalia, Artiodactyla, Cervidae.
AUUGUGAUCGGGAAAUGGUGGUGUGAGAUGGAGCCUUGUCUAGAAGGAGAGGAGUGUAAGACGCUCCCUGAUAAUUCUGGAUGGAUGUGUGCUACAGGCAAUAAAAUCAAGACCACAAGAAUUCACCCAAGAACCUAACGGAAGCAUUUGUUACAGUAAUAAAGGAAAACCAACUUUGUGGAAAAUGCAUUUUAAAAAGUUAAAACAUCUUAUACAUUAGAAGCCAAAUGGAUUUCUUAUUUGCACUUUGACUGAUUACCAGAUAAGCACAGUGCUUUUACUGUGUAUCACUGAGUAUCCUAGAGUGAGAAGACCCGAAGUUUUGGCGGUACCAUGGAAAGUGGGUUAAGAAAAAAAAAAAUGGGUUUUCUCAAUGCAAAUUUUUUGGGAUUACGAAGAACGAUCAACUAUCUUCUCAUUUGGAUCUACAGUUACUUUGUACCACUUGAAAUACAUGUAUAUACAUAAUAUUUUGAAAUAUUAUAUAUUCUCUUCAAGAAAUGAACUGUAGCACAGUU